Molecule: non-coding RNA, 91 nt
Organism: Mycena rosella
Lineage: Eukaryota; Fungi; Basidiomycota; Agaricomycetes; Agaricales; Mycenaceae
Source: the annotation of a GenBank genome assembly
GACCCAGUGGUGAAAUGAAUCAUGCCUGCAUCCUAUCCCCAGUUCUCUAUAUCGGAAGCAGGUGUCCCCGGUUCGAUUCCGGGCUAGGUCA